This 440-nucleotide ribosomal RNA is filed under the name uncultured bacterium. Its description in RNAcentral is "partial 16S ribosomal RNA". It matches the Rfam family "Bacterial small subunit ribosomal RNA", at positions 338 to 795 of the family's 1533-position model. The record is from RNAcentral.
CCUACGGGAGGCUGCAGUGGGGAAUAUUGCACAAUGGGCGAAACUCUGAUGCAGCAACGCCGCGUGAGUGAAGAAGUAUUUCGGUAUGUAAAGCUCUAUCAGCAGGGAAGAAAAUGACAGUACCUGACUAAGAAGCCCCGGCUAACUACGUGCCAGCAGCCGCGGUAAUACGUAGGGGGCAAGCGUUAUCCGGAUUUACUGGGUGUAAAGGGAGCGUAGACGGCUGCGCAAGUCAGAAGUGAAAGCCCGGGGCUCAACCGCGGGACUGCUUUUGAAACGGUGUAGCUAGAGUGCAGGAGAGGUAAGUGGAAUUCCUAGUGUAGCGGUGGAAUGCGUAGAUAUUAGGAGGAACACCGGUGGCGAAGGCGGCUUACUGGACUGUAACUGACGUUGAGGCUCGAAAGCGUGGGGAGCAAACAGGAUUAGAUACCCUUGUAGUC